Fukomys damarensis (Damara mole-rat) is the source of this 228-nucleotide unclassified non-coding RNA. Its record names the gene 7SK. It matches the Rfam family "7SK RNA". Rfam says of the family: 7SK was discovered as an abundant small nuclear RNA in the mid-70s but a possible function has only recently been suggested. Two independent studies have found that 7SK RNA binds the CDK9/cyclin T complex (known as elongation factor P-TEFb). NCBI's taxonomy places the organism in Eukaryota, Metazoa, Chordata, Mammalia, Rodentia, Bathyergidae. The record is from Ensembl.
GGAUGUGAGGGCAGCCUCGCUGUGACAUCUGUUACCCCUUUGAUCACCAGGUUUGAUUUGGCUGAUCUGGCUGGCUAGGUGGGGGGCCUCUUCCUCCUCACAUCUCCAUGUGUGUCCCCCCCAAAGCUGCACAUUGGGUUGAAAAGGACCACUACCUCUUAUAGGGGUGAACUGGUUCCUUGGCUGUGCUCCCAAGGAAGUGAUUUAGAUAUCCAUUUUUGAAUUGAU